Molecule: ribosomal RNA, 439 nt
Filed under: uncultured bacterium
Lineage: Bacteria
Description: bacterial SSU rRNA
Rfam family: Bacterial small subunit ribosomal RNA
Source: RNAcentral
UUACGGGAGGCAGCAGUGGGGAAUAUUGCACAAUGGAGGAAACUCUGAUGCAGCAACGCCGCGUGAAGGAUGAAGGUUUUCGGAUUGUAAACUUCUUUGACCAGGGACGAAUAAUGACGGUACCUGGAAAACAAGCCACGGCUAACUACGUGCCAGCAGCCGCGGUAAUACGUAGGUGGCGAGCGUUGUCCGGAAUUACUGGGUGUAAAGGGCGUGUAGGCGGGGAUGCAAGUCAGAUGUGAAAUUCCACGGCUUAACUGUGGCGCUGCAUCUGAAACUGUGUCUCUUGAGUGCUGGAGAGGAAAGCGGAAUUCCUAGUGUAGCGGUGAAAUGCGUAGAUAUUAGGAGGAACACCAGUGGCGAAGGCGGCUUUCUGGACAGUAACUGACGCUGAGGCGCGAAAGCGUGGGGAGCAAACAGGAUUAGAUACCCUGGUAGC